This 461-nucleotide ribosomal RNA is filed under the name Bacillus sp. enrichment culture clone A5o. RNAcentral describes it as "bacterial SSU rRNA". It matches the Rfam family "Bacterial small subunit ribosomal RNA", at positions 78 to 526 of the family's 1533-position model. The record is from RNAcentral. Lineage: Bacteria; Bacillati; Bacillota; Bacilli; Caryophanales; Bacillaceae.
ACUUGCUCUUAUGANUUACGGCGGACGGGUGAGUACACGUGGGUACCUGCCCAUAAGACUGGGAUAACUCCGGGAAACCGGGGCUAAUACCGGAUAACAUUUUGAACCGCAUGGUUCGAAAUUGAAAGGCGGCUUCGGCUGUCACUUAUGGAUGGACCCGCGUCGCAUUAGCUAGUUGGUGAGGUAACGGCUCACCAAGGCAACGAUGCGUAGCCGACCUGAGAGGGUGAUCGGCCACACUGGGACUGAGACACGGCCCAGACUCCUACGGGAGGCAGCAGUAGGGAAUCUUCCGCAAUGGACGAAAGUCUGACGGAGCAACGCCGCGUGAGUGAUGAAGGCUUUCGGGUCGUAAAACUCUGUUGUUAGGGAAGAACAAGUGCUAGUUGAAUAAGCUGGCACCUUGACGGUACCUAACCAGAAAGCCACGGCUAACUACGUGCCAGCAGCCGCGGUAAUAC